This 2931-nucleotide ribosomal RNA is filed under the name Escherichia coli. Its description in RNAcentral is "23S ribosomal RNA". It matches the Rfam family "Bacterial large subunit ribosomal RNA". Lineage: Bacteria; Pseudomonadati; Pseudomonadota; Gammaproteobacteria; Enterobacterales; Enterobacteriaceae. The record is from RNAcentral.
GGGUUGUGAGGUUAAGCGACUAAGCGUACACGGUGGAUGCCCUGGCAGUCAGAGGCGAUGAAGGACGUGCUAAUCUGCGAUAAGCGUCGGUAAGGUGAUAUGAACCGUUAUAACCGGCGAUUUCCGAAUGGGGAAACCCAGUGUGAUUCGUCACACUAUCAUUAACUGAAUCCAUAGGUUAAUGAGGCGAACCGGGGGAACUGAAACAUCUAAGUACCCCGAGGAAAAGAAAUCAACCGAGAUUCCCCCAGUAGCGGCGAGCGAACGGGGAGCAGCCCAGAGCCUGAAUCAGUGUGUGUGUUAGUGGAAGCGUCUGGAAAGGCGCGCGAUACAGGGUGACAGCCCCGUACACAAAAAUGCACAUGCUGUGAGCUCGAUGAGUAGGGCGGGACACGUGGUAUCCUGUCUGAAUAUGGGGGGACCAUCCUCCAAGGCUAAAUACUCCUGACUGACCGAUAGUGAACCAGUACCGUGAGGGAAAGGCGAAAAGAACCCCGGCGAGGGGAGUGAAAAAGAACCUGAAACCGUGUACGUACAAGCAGUGGGAGCACGCUUAGGCGUGUGACUGCGUACCUUUUGUAUAAUGGGUCAGCGACUUAUAUUCUGUAGCAAGGUUAACCGAAUAGGGGAGCCGAAGGGAAACCGAGUCUUAACUGGGCGUUAAGUUGCAGGGUAUAGACCCGAAACCCGGUGAUCUAGCCAUGGGCAGGUUGAAGGUUGGGUAACACUAACUGGAGGACCGAACCGACUAAUGUUGAAAAAUUAGCGGAUGACUUGUGGCUGGGGGUGAAAGGCCAAUCAAACCGGGAGAUAGCUGGUUCUCCCCGAAAGCUAUUUAGGUAGCGCCUCGUGAAUUCAUCUCCGGGGGUAGAGCACUGUUUCGGCAAGGGGGUCAUCCCGACUUACCAACCCGAUGCAAACUGCGAAUACCGGAGAAUGUUAUCACGGGAGACACACGGCGGGUGCUAACGUCCGUCGUGAAGAGGGAAACAACCCAGACCGCCAGCUAAGGUCCCAAAGUCAUGGUUAAGUGGGAAACGAUGUGGGAAGGCCCAGACAGCCAGGAUGUUGGCUUAGAAGCAGCCAUCAUUUAAAGAAAGCGUAAUAGCUCACUGGUCGAGUCGGCCUGCGCGGAAGAUGUAACGGGGCUAAACCAUGCACCGAAGCUGCGGCAGCGACGCUGAUGCGUUGUUGGGUAGGGGAGCGUUCUGUAAGCCUGCGAAGGUGUGCUGUGAGGCAUGCUGGAGGUAUCAGAAGUGCGAAUGCUGACAUAAGUAACGAUAAAGCGGGUGAAAAGCCCGCUCGCCGGAAGACCAAGGGUUCCUGUCCAACGUUAAUCGGGGCAGGGUGAGUCGACCCCUAAGGCGAGGCCGAAAGGCGUAGUCGAUGGGAAACAGGUUAAUAUUCCUGUACUUGGUGUUACUGCGAAGGGGGGACGGAGAAGGCUAUGUUGGCCGGGCGACGGUUGUCCCGGUUUAAGCGUGUAGGCUGGUUUUCCAGGCAAAUCCGGAAAAUCAAGGCUGAGGCGUGAUGACGAGGCACUACGGUGCUGAAGCAACAAAUGCCCUGCUUCCAGGAAAAGCCUCUAAGCAUCAGGUAACAUCAAAUCGUACCCCAAACCGACACAGGUGGUCAGGUAGAGAAUACCAAGGCGCUUGAGAGAACUCGGGUGAAGGAACUAGGCAAAAUGGUGCCGUAACUUCGGGAGAAGGCACGCUGAUAUGUAGGUGAAGCGACUUGCUCGUGGAGCUGAAAUCAGUCGAAGAUACCAGCUGGCUGCAACUGUUUAUUAAAAACACAGCACUGUGCAAACACGAAAGUGGACGUAUACGGUGUGACGCCUGCCCGGUGCCGGAAGGUUAAUUGAUGGGGUUAGCGCAAGCGAAGCUCUUGAUCGAAGCCCCGGUAAACGGCGGCCGUAACUAUAACGGUCCUAAGGUAGCGAAAUUCCUUGUCGGGUAAGUUCCGACCUGCACGAAUGGCGUAAUGAUGGCCAGGCUGUCUCCACCCGAGACUCAGUGAAAUUGAACUCGCUGUGAAGAUGCAGUGUACCCGCGGCAAGACGGAAAGACCCCGUGAACCUUUACUAUAGCUUGACACUGAACAUUGAGCCUUGAUGUGUAGGAUAGGUGGGAGGCUUUGAAGUGUGGACGCCAGUCUGCAUGGAGCCGGCCUUGAAAUACCACCCUUUAAUGUUUGAUGUUCUAACGUUGACCCGUAAUCCGGGUUGCGGACAGUGUCUGGUGGGUAGUUUGACUGGGGCGGUCUCCUCCUAAAGAGUAACGGAGGAGCACGAAGGUUGGCUAAUCCUGGUCGGACAUCAGGAGGUUAGUGCAAUGGCAUAAGCCAGCUUGACUGCGAGCGUGACGGCGCGAGCAGGUGCGAAAGCAGGUCAUAGUGAUCCGGUGGUUCUGAAUGGAAGGGCCAUCGCUCAACGGAUAAAAGGUACUCCGGGGAUAACAGGCUGAUACCGCCCAAGAGUUCAUAUCGACGGCGGUGUUUGGCACCUCGAUGUCGGCUCAUCACAUCCUGGGGCUGAAGUAGGUCCCAAGGGUAUGGCUGUUCGCCAUUUAAAGUGGUACGCGAGCUGGGUUUAGAACGUCGUGAGACAGUUCGGUCCCUAUCUGCCGUGGGCGCUGGAGAACUGAGGGGGGCUGCUCCUAGUACGAGAGGACCGGAGUGGACGCAUCACUGGUGUUCGGGUUGUCAUGCCAAUGGCACUGCCCGGUAGCUAAAUGCGGAAGAGAUAAGUGCUGAAAGCAUCUAAGCACGAAACUUGCCCCGAGAUGAGUUCUCCCUGACUCCUUGAGGGUCCUGAAGGAACGUUGAAGACGACGACGUUGAUAGGCCGGGUGUGUAAGCGCAGCGAUGCGUUGAGCUAACCGGUACUAAUGAACCGUGAGGCUUAACCUUACAACGCCGAAGGUGUUU